GAUGAACGCUGGCGGCGUGCCUAUACAUGCAAGUAGACGCUGAAGCUUGGUGCUUGCACCGAGCGGAUGAGUUGCGAACGGGUGAGUAACGCGUAGGUAACCUGCCUGGUAGCGGGGGAUACUAUUGGAAACGAUAGCUAAUACCGCAUAACAGUAGAUAUUGCAUGAUAUCUGCUUGAAAGGUGCAAUUGCAUCACUACCAGAUGGACCUGCGUUGUAUUAGCUAGUUGGUGAGGUAACGGCUCACCAAGGCGACGAUACAUAGCCGACCUGAGAGGGUGAUCGGCCACACUGGGGACUGAGACACGGCCCCAGACUUCCUACGGGAGGCAGCAGUAGGGAAUCUUCGGCAAAUGGACGGAAGUCUGACCGAGCAACGCCGCGUGAGUGAAGAAGGUUUUCGGAUCGUAAGCUCUGUUGUAAGAGAAGAACGAGUGUGAGAGUGGAAAGUUCACACUGUGACGGUAUCUUACCAGAAAGGGCAGGC
Molecule: ribosomal RNA, 487 nt
Filed under: Streptococcus sp. oral taxon 061
Lineage: Bacteria; Bacillati; Bacillota; Bacilli; Lactobacillales; Streptococcaceae
Description: bacterial SSU rRNA
Rfam family: Bacterial small subunit ribosomal RNA
Source: RNAcentral